RNAcentral lists this ribosomal RNA (405 nucleotides) under uncultured bacterium. Its description in RNAcentral is "bacterial SSU rRNA". It matches the Rfam family "Bacterial small subunit ribosomal RNA", at positions 29 to 424 of the family's 1533-position model. The record is from RNAcentral.
AACGAACGCUGGCGGCGCGCUUAACACAUGCAAGUCGAACGAGAAGGCGUAGCAAUAACGCUUGUACAGUGGCGAACGGGUGAGUAAUACGUGGGCGACCUACCCUCGAGUGGGGAAUAACCCGCCGAAAGGCGGGCUAAUGCCGCGUACGCUUCCAUCUUUAUGGAGGUGGAAGGAAAGCCGUGCCGUGGGCACGGCGCUCAGGGAUGGGCUCACGUCCUAUCAGCUUGUUGGAGGGUAACGGCCUACCAAGGCUCCGACGGGUAGCUGGUCUGAGAGGACGAUCAGCCACACUGGCACUGCGACACGGGCCAGACUCCUACGGGAGGCAGCAGUGAGGAAUAUUGCGCAAUGGGCGAAAGCCUGACGCAGCGACGCCGCGUGGGGGAUGAAGGUCUUCGGAUU